CGGACGGGUGAGUAAUGUCUGGGAAACUGCCUGAUGGAGGGGGAUAACUACUGGAAACGGUAGCUAAUACCGCAUAACGUCGCAAGACCAAAGAGGGGGACCUUCGGGCCUCUUGCCAUCAGAUGUGCCCAGAUGGGAUUAGCUUGUUGGUGGGGUAACGGCUCGCCAAGGCGACGAUCCCUAGCUGGUCUGAGAGGAUGACCAGCCACACUGGAACUGAGACACGGUCCAG
This 232-nucleotide ribosomal RNA is filed under the name uncultured Enterobacterales bacterium. Its description in RNAcentral is "partial 16S ribosomal RNA". It matches the Rfam family "Bacterial small subunit ribosomal RNA", at positions 99 to 334 of the family's 1533-position model. Lineage: Bacteria; Pseudomonadati; Pseudomonadota; Gammaproteobacteria; Enterobacterales. The record is from RNAcentral.